Molecule: long non-coding RNA, 570 nt
Filed under: Phoenix dactylifera (date palm)
Lineage: Eukaryota; Viridiplantae; Streptophyta; Magnoliopsida; Arecales; Arecaceae
Description: long non-coding RNA (PDAC_LNC019053)
Source: RNAcentral
UAAAUCUUUAGGAUUUCCACAUGUACUUUUUUCUUUCUAAAUAAGAAAAGGCUUAAAGAUUUGAUGACCUCUUUUUUUCUUUGAGGUAAAUCUUUAGGGUUUCCGAUGCUUUUUUUCCCUCGAAAGAAAAGUCUCAAAGAUUUGAUGAUUUCUUUUUUUUUAUUUGCUCUCAUGGAAUCGUUGAUUCCUCUUUGAGAAUUGAAUGUUUUAAUGAUUUAGAUCUAUAGUCUUCUCUGUUGUUGUCGGGUUCUGUUCCCAAAUUCUUACCUUUGCAUACGCUGCCGCAGAUGUAUUACUAACUUGGUUUGACCUAGAUGUCCUAUUCUAAUUUGGGGCUAUUUUAUGUGAAAUCUUGGUUGGAUAAUUCUUAACAUUUUUUGGAGGGUAUAUUUUAUUUGUUACUUAAAAUAAUAACUUUGGCACUUGUCUUCGAGUAUAUAAGGAAAUUUUUUUUACUUUUCCAUCAUGAAAAAAGGAAGCGAAAGCUAUCGUAUACAACAAGUUUACAAAUUUACAAAGCUUGAUGUUGUUUCUACUAUGUGUUUUCUCCAUGCUUUGGUGAGUUUGAAU